RNAcentral lists this ribosomal RNA (584 nucleotides) under uncultured bacterium. RNAcentral's name for it is "bacterial SSU rRNA". It matches the Rfam family "Bacterial small subunit ribosomal RNA", at positions 814 to 1387 of the family's 1533-position model. The record is from RNAcentral.
CACUGGGUGUCGGUCAUUAAUUAGAUCGGUGCCGGAGCUAACGCAUUAAGUGAACCGCCUGGGGACUACGGCCGCAAGGCUAAAACUCAAGAGAACUGACGGGGCCCUGCACAAGCGGUGGAGCACGUGGUUUAAUUCGAUUAUAAGCGAAGAACCUUACCUGGGCUUGACAUACUAGCAGUAGGAGCCAGAGAUGGUAACGACCCCUACUUUUGGUAGGGGAACUAGUACAGGUGAUGCAUGGCUGUCGUCAGCUCGUGUCGUGGGACGUUGGGUUAAGUCCCGAAACGAGCGCAACCCCUGUUGUUAGUUGCCAGCGGGUAAUGCCGGGGACUCUAACAAGACUGCUGGUGAAUAGCCGGAGGAAGGAGGGGAUGACGUCAAGUCAUCAUGUCCCUUAUGUCCAGGGCGACACACAUGCUACAAUGGGAGGUACAAAGGGCUGCUAAACCGUAAGGUCAUGCGAAUCCCAGAAAGCCUUCCUUAGUUCGGAUUGAGGUCUGCAACCCGACCUCAUGAAGCCGGAAUCGCUAGUAAUCGCAGGUCAGCCACACUGCGGUGAAUAUGUACUCAGGGCUUGUACA